CUCAGGUAACAGCAACCCGUACCGCAAACCGACACAGGUAGUCAAGGAGAGAAUCCUGAGGUGCUCGAGUGAUCCGCGGCUAAGGAACUAGGCAAUUAACCCUGUAACUUCGGGAAAAAGGGUGCCCUCCGCAAGGAGGGCCACAGUAAAAUGGCUCUGGCGACUGUUUAUCAAAAACACAUGGCUAUGCUAAACUGAAAGGUGAUGUAUAUGGCCUGACACCUGCCCGGUGCUGGAAGGUUAAGAGGAGAGGUUAUCAGCAAUGAGAAGCUUUGAAUUGAAGCCCCAGUAAACGGCGGCCGUAACAAUAACGGUCCUAAGGUAGCGAAAUUCCUUGUCGGGUAAGUUCCGACCUGCACGAAUGGUGUAACGAUCUGAGCACUGUCUCAGCCGCGAGCUCGGUGAAAUUGUAGUAUCGGUGAAGAUGCCGAUUACCCGCAACGGGACGGAAAGACCCCGUGCACCUUCACUAUAGCUUAACAUUGACUUUGGAUAAAUCAUGUGUAGGAUAGGUGGGAGACUUUGAAGUGGUGUCGCUAGGCAUCAUGGAGUCAACCUUGAAAUACCACCCUUGAUUUAUUUGGAGUCUAACUCCUCACGGAGGACAUUGUUUGGUGGGUAGUUUGACUGGGGUGGUCGCCUCCAAAAAAGUAUCGGAGGCUUUCAAAGGUACCCUCAAUACGCUUGGUAACCGUAUGUAGAGUGCAAUAGCAUAAGGGUGCUUGACUGUGAGACUUACAAGUCGAGCAGGGCCGAAAGGCGGAUAUAGUGAUCCGGUGGUUCCGCAUGGAAGGGCCAUCGCUCAAAGGAUAAAAGGUACGCCGGGAUAACAGGCUGAUCCCUCCCAAGAGCUCAUAUCGACGGGGGGGUUUGGCACCUCGAUGUCGGCUCGUCACAUCCUGGGGCUGGAGAAGGUCCCAAGGGUUCGGCUGUUCGCCGAUUAAAGUGGCACGCGAGCUGGGUUCAGAACGUCGUGAGACAGUUCGGUCCCUAUCUGUUGUGGGCGUUAGAAAUUUGAGAGGACCUGACUCUAGUACGAGAGGACCGAGUCGGACGGACCGCUAGUGUACCAGUUGUGGUGUCAACUGCGUCGCUGGGUAGCUAUGUUCGGAUGAGAUAAGCGCUGAAAGCAUCUAAGUGCGAAACUCACCUCAAGAUAAGAUUUCUUUAAAGGGUCGUAGAAGAUUACUACGUUAAUAGGUUGUAAGUGUAAAGACAGUAAUGUCAAAGCUGAGCAAUACUAAUUACCC
RNAcentral lists this ribosomal RNA (1250 nucleotides) under metagenome. RNAcentral describes it as "bacterial LSU rRNA". It matches the Rfam family "Bacterial large subunit ribosomal RNA", at positions 1626 to 2910 of the family's 2925-position model. The record is from RNAcentral.